UAGUUCAGCUGGUUAGAAUG
This 20-nucleotide unclassified non-coding RNA is filed under the name Mus musculus (house mouse). RNAcentral describes it as "oocyte_clustered_small_RNA11100". The record is from RNAcentral. Lineage: Eukaryota; Metazoa; Chordata; Mammalia; Rodentia; Muridae.